RNAcentral lists this signal recognition particle RNA (298 nucleotides) under Sinocyclocheilus anshuiensis. RNAcentral's name for it is "Metazoan signal recognition particle RNA (ENSSANG00000034880.1)". It matches the Rfam family "Metazoan signal recognition particle RNA". From Rfam's summary of the family: The signal recognition particle (SRP) is a universally conserved ribonucleoprotein. The record is from RNAcentral. Lineage: Eukaryota; Metazoa; Chordata; Actinopteri; Cypriniformes; Cyprinidae.
GUCGGGUGCAGUGGCGUGCGCCUGUAAUCCAAGCUGCUGGGAGGCUGAGGCUGGCGGAUCGCUUGAGUUCAGGGGUUCUGGGCUGCAGUGGACUAUGUUGAUCGGGUGUCCGCACUAAGUUCGGUAUCGAUAUGGUGGUCCUGGGGGAGCUCGGGACCACCAGAUCGUCUAAGGAGGGGUGAACCGGCCCAGGUCGGAGACGGAGCAGGUCAAAGCCCCCGUGUCGAUCAGUAGUGGGGUCGCAACUGUGAAUAGACACUGCAGUGCAGCCUGAGCGAUACAGCGAGACUCAGACUUU